GUGCUUCGGCAGCACAUAUACUAAAAUUGGAACAAUACAGAGAUUAACAUGGCCCCUGUGCAAAGGAUUACACGCAAAUUUGUGACGCAUUCCAUAUUUUG
RNAcentral lists this small nuclear RNA (101 nucleotides) under Zalophus californianus (California sea lion). Lineage: Eukaryota; Metazoa; Chordata; Mammalia; Carnivora; Otariidae. The record is from RNAcentral.